Molecule: ribosomal RNA, 466 nt
Filed under: uncultured bacterium
Lineage: Bacteria
Description: partial 16S ribosomal RNA
Rfam family: Bacterial small subunit ribosomal RNA
Source: RNAcentral
GACGAACGCUGGCGGCGUGCUUAACACAUGCAAGUAGAACGGAAAGGCCCUGCUUUUCUGGGGUGCUUGAGUGGCGAACGGGUGAGUAACGCGUGAGUAACCUGCCCUUUACUUUGGGAUAACUUCAGGAAACUGGGGCUAAUACCGGAUAAGAGCACCUGCUGCAUGGCGGGGGUUGAAAAGGUUCGGUGGUUGGGGUUGGACUUGGGGCUUCUCAGCUUGUUGGUGGGGUCGUGGCUUACGUAGGCUGUGACGGGGAGACGGUCUGAGUGGGUGACCGGCCACAUUGCGACGGGGAGCCGGCGUAGGGUCCUAUCGGAGGCAGCAGUGAGGAAUACUGCACAACGCGCGGUAGGUGGAGGCAGCAUCGGCGCGGUCGGGAUGUCGGCUUUCGGAUGGUAAACCGCUUGCGCCGGUGACGAAGCGUGAGUGACGGUAAUGGGUGAAGAAGCACCGGCUAACUACG